Molecule: long non-coding RNA, 1035 nt
Filed under: Ursus maritimus (polar bear)
Lineage: Eukaryota; Metazoa; Chordata; Mammalia; Carnivora; Ursidae
Description: lncRNA (ENSUMAG00000007508.1)
Source: RNAcentral
AUGAUGCCUGAUUCAGCCCAAAACCCCAGCCCCCUUCGAUGGACCAAGAGGCAGAGGCGUCCGUGUCCGGCCUCCCUGACUGAACCGGCGGACUUCCUGUGUCCAUUGCCUGGGACACGGUGCUGCAGAGGGGCCCAGAACCUUCUGAAAGGUGGGGAGUCCGGAGAAGGGUGCUCAGCCAGCCGCCUGGGUGGAGUAAAGAGUAGGAAGUGGCUCCCGGCCCGGCCCGACAGGAAUCAGACCCUGUGUGACUCCUCCUUCUCCUCCCCUGCCCAGGGACUCCCUGCCCAAGCGGAGGCAGGACACAAGGCACAGGUGCGGGGGAGCCUCCCGAGUACUCACUCGCCCUAGGACAAAACUCCUCCCCCACCCUCCAUCCCCUCCCAGCCUCUCCCUUCCCUUCCCUGCCCACCACAGCCCAGUGGUCCUCCCCUUAAAGGGAAGGGACCCCUUUCCAGACCCGUGUUCCCAGCCCGCCUGGCCCCCUGCGCUCUGUCAGGCAGCACCUGAGGGCUGCCCCUGAGAGUCGGGGAGCCUCUGGGUUCCUCAGCUGGGGAGUUCAGGGUUCACAAUUGGGCCAGCCUAGGGGGUGGGGAAGGGGUUCCUGGAGCCCAGCAGAGACCUGGAGAGCCUGGGCGCCAGAGCCCCUCCGCAGGUGCUCCUCCUCUCUCUGCAUUUUAUGGUGCUUGUUACCCCACAAAACACAGGGUCCCCAAACAGCACUUACUGUGGGUGGACACACACUAAUCAACACUUGUUGCGGUUACCUUCACACCUGCCCUCUCACGGCAGCGUGAUUCCCAGGAGCCCAGAGUGGAAACAGGCCAGAUGUCCAUCCGCUGAAGAGCGGACACACGGUCCCCCACGCGCGGGCACGUCCCUCGGCCACGGACAGGAGUGAGGCGCCCACCCACGCUGCCCCGGGGACGGACCCUGAGCCCGCAACACUCAGGGAGGGAACCAGACACAGAAGGGCCCACGCGUGUGAGUCCACGUGUGUGACACGUCCAGAACAGCCUCAUCCACGGACAGGAA